ACCUAAUAGAUACCCUGGUAGUCCACGCCCUAAACGAUGCGAACUGGAUGUUGGGUACAUUACGGUACUCAGUGUCGAAAGCUAAACGCGUUAAGUUCGCCGCCUGGGGAGUACGGUCGCAAGACUGAAACUCAAAGGAAUUGACGGGGGCCCGGCACAAGCGGUGGAGUAUGUGGUUUAAUUACGAUGCAACGCGAAGAACCUUACCUGGCCUUGACAUCUGUCGAAUCCUGCAGAGAUGCGGGAGUGCCGCAAGGAACGACAAGACAGGUGCUGCAUGGCUGUCGUCAGCUCGUGUCGUGAGAUGUUGGGUUAAGUCCCGCAACGAGCGCAACCCUUGUCCCUAGUUGCCAGCACAUC
Molecule: ribosomal RNA, 360 nt
Filed under: uncultured bacterium
Lineage: Bacteria
Description: bacterial SSU rRNA
Rfam family: Bacterial small subunit ribosomal RNA
Source: RNAcentral